AAACCAGCACCUCAAGUGGUCAGGAGGUUUAUUGGGCCUAAAGCAUCCGUAGCCUGCUCUGUAAGUUUUCGGUUAAAUCUGUACGCUCAACGUACAGGCUGCCGGGAAUACUGCAGAGCUAGGGAGUGGGAGAGGUAGACGGUACUCGGGAGGAAGUGGUAAAAUGCUUUGAUCUCUCGAUGACCACCUGUGGCGAAGGCGGUCUACCAGAACACGUCCGACGGUGAGGGAUGAAAGCUGGGGGAGCAAACCGGAUUAGAAACCCUAGUAGUCC
This 274-nucleotide ribosomal RNA is filed under the name uncultured bacterium. Its description in RNAcentral is "partial 16S ribosomal RNA". It matches the Rfam family "Archaeal small subunit ribosomal RNA", at positions 473 to 747 of the family's 1478-position model. The record is from RNAcentral.